GGCUUAGGUCCUAAUCGAGCUGUUAGUCAUAGCAGGUUUCCCAAGCCUUGGGGCUUGCCUGUGCCGGGGGCUAAUCUCUGCGGGGUGUAAGCCAGGCAUGCUGCUGGGGGCUCUGCUCUGCUCCAGGCAGCACAUGUGAAGGCUUGCCUGGGAAAGCAGGCGCUUCAGGGGGCAGAUCUUUCCUUUCUGGGAGGGAACGGUGGGGAGGAACUGAAGCAACCAGGCUACCUCUCGAUCAGUGUGUUUGAGCAAUGAAAAAUCUCUUUGAAUGCUCGCUAGGGAACCCACCAGGGUUUCAUAAGAAAAUAUUUGUGCUCCGCAGGCUGAUGCGGUGACAGCUUCCAGCAGAGAUGAGCUGGCUGGCUAGACAGGAGGCUGCGCACCAAAAAGAGAGGGCAAAAGGUGCUGCCUGCCAAAGCAGCAGCUGGGAGAAGGCGACUGGACUGCACAGCGUCAGCGCACACAUGGUCGGUGGGGAAGCGCGAGCCCAGCUUCAAUCCUUGUCAAUGGCACCUCGUUGACUUUUAACGCUUCCUUAUCGUGUCUGCCCUCACCUCGUAGCAGCGCUGAUAAAAUGCCAUCGCUGGUGUAAUCUCCUGAGCAGCUCUGCGGAAAACCUUGCAGAGCAUGGGAGGCUGGAUCGCCUGCAGCCAGCAGCCAGCGUGGGACUGCGGUCCGGAGCAAGGUGAGCAACUUAAAGUGGUACACUUGGGAGAGCCCUUUUUAUGGUUUUGAAUUAAGGACCCCUUACUAUAAAACGAUAAGCAACAACUGAGCAGGUAUGUCACUUUUGGAACCUGUAACUGGUGCCAAACUGCUGUACAGUAUCUUGCCACUACAGGAGAUCAAUGAAAACUCGCAAGGAACUGUCUGGAAAGAAGAAUUUUCCUUCUGAGUGAGAAAUUUGGAUGCUUAAGAUUGCUUUUUCCCCCCCUUUCUUUUAAUUUUUUUCUUUUUUCAAAUGGAUCCUAGACUUAGUGUCCUUCUUCCUGAAUUGGAGAGAAAAGUCAUGACGCUAAAAUUCCUUGCUGGAGGAAAAGCUUCUGAAGAUUUUAUCAAAGACCUUACGAUCAAGAUCCUCCACUUUUUUUGUGGCUGGAGGUUUGAUUUCAGCUUCAUGGGUCCAACUAUUUUAAAUGAUAAAAGGUGAAACAAUGGACUUCUUUAGAGGAAGUAAUUGUCAUUAACAACAGAAACUUCCAGUGAAAUCAAUGAAAAGUUUCAAUUUGACUUGCUGUUUUCCUCUUCCACCUUAUUCAGAAAAUAGGCUUAUGAAGCUCUCAGCAUAAUUUUUAGUUCUUUGGCUACAGCUGUACUCUGUGCAAUGUUAUCCAUUGGAUGUUACUAUCCUGUAUCCCUUAUAUAGCACUUGUAACCAUCCCUGUAAUCGCUUCCACAUGCUGCGAACUUGCAGAAUGGAGCAAACUCCUUCUGCAUUCCUGUAUUCACAUGGUCUUUGCCAAGUUCUUCAUCUCCAAUACUUGCUUGGAUACCUUGAA
This is a long non-coding RNA of Falco peregrinus (peregrine falcon), 1499 nucleotides long. RefSeq lists it as uncharacterized. The record is from RefSeq and is a predicted model, not a curated record. The transcript is spliced from 2 exons. Lineage: Eukaryota; Metazoa; Chordata; Aves; Falconiformes; Falconidae.